ACCCUUCUCUGCUUUAUUCCACUGCAUUUUAAAGGGGCAAUCUGGGAUGGAUACAUCCAGGUUUUUGACUAAAUUAUUGAGAUGAAUCAUUUGAUUCUUGGAGAAUAUAAUUAAUAAAUGCAUCACGAGCUUAAUUAAACUGUCUUACCCUAUUAGAUACACUUAUUUUAACAAUGACAAACCACAAGGAUUUCAUUCUUUGCAGUAGAGUGUAACUUCUACAACACUAUUCGUUAUGUAGAGGACAGGUUUCAGGUUUCAUACAUGCCACUUCACAUCAGUCAAUGAAUAGUCAAAACCAUCUAGUUCAGCGUUCAGAAGUGCAUUGCACUGCAAACACACAGCCCAGAUUGAAAAGGCCAAAACCCCUCCGGUGUGUGUAAUGUACUGUAGGUUGUUAUCAGAAUCCAAAACAAGGGCAACAACACGUCGAUUGGUUGGCUCAGAGGUUGAGAAGGCUAUCGCAACAGGCACUGGUCCCAAAUGGCACCCUAUUCCCUAUGUAGUGUACUACUUUGGACCAGGGGCCUAGUCAAACAUAGUGCACUAUGUAGGGAAUAGGGUGCUAUUUGGGAUAAAAGCCAGUGUUUCACCACUUCAAAAGAGUGAAGACAGGCAGCAGCAAACCUCUUUCUGUUAAAUGAUUGACCGACACCGCAGACCUGGGUUCAAAUACUAUUCAAAAUAAUUUCUAAUACUUUAUCUGGGCUUGUUUGAUGCAGUGGAACCAAUCGAAUAAUCCUGCCCAUUUGACACCUAAGAGUCCAAUCAGAUUAGAGCGAACGCUAAAAUGUAUUUGAAAGGUUCCAGGUCUGCAACACUGAGGCGACCCACAUCCUUCCUCUCUAUGGCUCCAGCCUGGACUGCAACAGUGUGACAGGGGUGGAUUUCAAUUGAAAUUAACCCCGGCUGCCCAGGGGGCCCCACUGAUAAAAAUAUAUAUAUAUAUAUAUAUCACUGAUAAAAAAAUAAUUAAAAUAUAUAUAUAUAAUAUUAUGACAAUGUGUUCAAAACAAUUAUGUAUGGCCUAUUGUGUUUAUUUUUAUUCUGAAAUUAAAAGCGUACAUGAAAGUUAUAUUAAGUUGUGUAAUAAUAGCAGCAGGUCUGUGGGGAAAUUUCUAGUUUGGGGGGGGCCUCAACGGUAUUUUGAAACGGGGCCCCACGUCUUUAGACCAUCGUUCAGUCAGAUCACACUGACUGAAUGAAGAAACGUUUUAGAAUGAGAAGCUCAGCUGUUGUAUUUGUAGCCUGGUGGUUAGAGUGUAGAGGCGGCAGGGUAGCCUGGUGGUUAGAGUGUAGAGGCGGCAGGGUAGCCUGGUGGUUAGAGUGUAGAGGCGGCAGGGUAGCCUGGUGGUUAGAGUGUAGAGGCGGCAGGGUAGCCUGGUGGUUAGAGUGUAGAGGCGGCAGGGUAGCCUGGUGGUUAGAGUGUAGAGGCGGCAGGGUAGCCUGGUGGUUAGAGUGUAGAGGCGGCAGGGUAGCCUGGUGGUUAGAGUGUAGAGGCGGCAGGGUAGCCUGGUGGUUAGAGUGUAGAGGCGGCAGGGUAGCCUGGUGGUUAGAGUGUAGAGGCGGCAGGGUAGCCUGGUGGUUAGAGUGUAGAGGCGGCAGGGUAGCCUGGUGGUUAGAGUGUAGAGGCGGCAGGGUAGCCUGGUGGUUAGAGUGUAGAGGCGGCAGGGUAGCCUGGUGGUUAGAGUGUAGAGGCGGCAGGGUAGCCUGGUGGUUAGAGUGUAGAGGCGGCAGGGUAGCCUGGUGGUUAGAGUGUAGAGGCGGCAGGGUAGCCUGGUGGUUAGAGUGUAGAGGCGGCAGGGUAGCCUGGUGGUUAGAGUGUAGAGGGGGCAGGGUAGCCUGGUGGUUAGAGUGUAGAGGCGGCAGGGUAGCCUAGUGGUUAGAGUGUAGAGGCGGCAGGGUAGCCUAGUGGUUAGAGUGUAGAGGCGGCAGGGUAGCCUAGUGGUUAGUGUUGGACUAGUAACCGGAAGGUUCCAAGUUCAAACCCCUGAGCUGACAAGGUACAAAAUCUGUCGUUCUGCUCCUGAACAGGCAGUUUAAUCCACUGUUCCCAGGCCGUCAUUGAAAAUAAGAAUUUGUUCUAAACUGACUUGCCUAGUUAAAUGAAGGUAAAAUAAAUAAAAAUCUAGAGCAAACUGGGCCCCCCCCCCCCCCCAGGGGUCCGCAAAUUAUUAUUAUACUGAACAAAUAUAUCGACUCAUGUAAAGUGUUUGUAAUGCUCCGGGUGUCAUGGGUGUGGAGUCAAAAUGCAGGAGACAGAGUUCAAUGCUGUGCGUCUUUUACUAGCAUCAACGCACCACAGGGUGCUCACAAAAGUAACGUUCCCAAACACAGGGGAAAAAUUACAAUGAAGAAAUACACGACUAGGCACUAAACACGUACCUCUACAACAGAGCCGAAGGUUACAAUGAAAAUAAUCCCGCACAACAACCAGGCGGGCCGGCUGUCUAAUAAAGACAAACUAAUUAAACUAAUUAAACAUGAACAGGUGCUACCACUAAACAUACAAGGAGGGAGAGGAAAAACAAUCAGUGGCAGCUAAUAGGCCGGUGAUGACGACCGCCGAGCGCCACCCGCCCGGGAAGGGGAAACACCCUCGGUCGGACUCGUGACAGUGUUGGUCCCUGAGCUGAAAUCAAAUAUCCCAUAAAUGUUCCAUAUGUACAAAAAGCUUAUUUCUUCUAAAUGUUGUGCACACGUGUGUUUACAUCUCUGUUAGUGAGCAUUUCUCCUUUGCCAAGAUUGUCCAGCCACCUUGACAGGUGUGUCCUAUCAAAAGCUUGUGGCUGGUCUCAGACGAUCCCACAGUUUCAUCAGCUGCCCAGGUGUCUCAGACGAUCCCACAGUUUCAUCAGCUGCCCAGGUGUCUCAGACGAUCCCACAGUUUCAUCAGCUGCCCAGGUGUCUCAGACGAUCCCACAGUUUCAUCAGCUGCCCAGGUGUCUCAGACGAUCCCACAGUUUCAUCAGCUGCCCAGGUGUCUCAGACGAUCCCACAGUUUCAUCAGCUGCCCAGGUGUCUCAGACGAUCCCACAGGUUAAGAAGCUGGAUGUGGAGGUCGUGGGCUGGUGUGGUGACACGUGGACUUCGGUUGUGAGGCCGUUUGGACCUACUGCCAAAUUCUCUAAAAUGAUGUUAGAGGCAGCUUAUAUCCUGUACUGUCUAUCUGUAUGUGUACUGGAACUAUACUAGACUGUACUGUCUAUCUGUAUGUGUACUGGAACUAUACUACACUGUACUGUCUAUCUGUAUGUGUACUGGAACUAUACUACACUGUACUGUCUAUCUGUAUGUGUACUGGAACUAUACUACACUGUACUGUCUAUCUGUAUGUGUACUGGAACUAUACUACACUGUACUGUACUUCUACUACUGCUGUACAUGGACCAUCUACGGCUUUAUUAGCCUGACUACCACGGUUUGUGUUGUCAUGCCACUGGCUUGACAAUGAGCGCUGGAGUUGGCAAGAACACAAACUGAUCUGAGACCAGGCUAUGGUUCUAUUCAACAUAUUGACCCAUGUCAAGUUUUGCUUAGUCACACAUUCGAUUUAGUAUGUUGUCUUGUGAUU
This is a long non-coding RNA of Oncorhynchus keta (chum salmon), 3574 nucleotides long. RefSeq lists it as uncharacterized. The record is from RefSeq and is a predicted model, not a curated record. The transcript is spliced from 3 exons. Lineage: Eukaryota; Metazoa; Chordata; Actinopteri; Salmoniformes; Salmonidae.